Molecule: ribosomal RNA, 253 nt
Filed under: uncultured bacterium
Lineage: Bacteria
Description: partial 16S ribosomal RNA
Rfam family: Bacterial small subunit ribosomal RNA
Source: RNAcentral
UACGUAGGGGGCAAGCGUUGUCCGGAUUUAUUGGGCGUAAAGAGCGUGUAGGCGGCUAUACAGGUCCGUUGUGAAAACUCGAGGCUCAACCUCGAGACGCCGAUGGAAACCGUAUGGCUAGAGUCCGGAAGAGGCGAGUGGAAUUCCUGGUGUAGCGGUGAAAUGCGCAGAUAUCAGGAGGAACACCAAUUGCGAAGGCAGCUCGCUGGGACGUUACUGACGCUGAGACGCGAAAGCGUGGGGAGCAAACAGG